Podarcis lilfordi (Lilford's wall lizard) is the source of this 680-nucleotide non-coding RNA. The record is from the annotation of a GenBank genome assembly. NCBI's taxonomy places the organism in Eukaryota, Metazoa, Chordata, Lepidosauria, Squamata, Lacertidae.
ACCCACUCUGCCAUGCCCCUCCCCCUAAAACGUAGUGAUGGGUCAAUGCAAUCAAUGCAAUCCUUGGCCUGAAAAACGUUCGCUGCUGCUGAUUUAGACAUUUGUGGUACAGGAAAAAUAGAAGAUCGUCUCCCGAAAGAUCAAUGCCCUAUGUGGGAAGUGUCAAUUUUUUUUAAAAAAAAUAAAUGAUCAAAUGUUCUCAUCUGUUUUCUCCAAAACGUGAUUUCUACUCAAACCAAAAGAGCCUUUAGCUGCCUGUGGGUGGGAUGUUUUUUAACGCAUUUCUUCCCCUGCUUGGUUUUAUUGUAUGUACAGUGGAACCUCGAGCUGCAGACGUAAUCCGUCCCGAAGGCACGUCCGCAACUCGAAGCGUUCGCAUCCAGAAGUGCAGUGUUUGCGCAUGCACACGGCGUGAUUUAGCGCUUCUGCACGUGCGGCGAAACCCGGAAGUAACCCGUUCUGGUAGUUCCGGGUUGCCGCAGAACAUAAUGCAAAAAGACGCGACAUGAGGUAUGACUGUAUGUGGGAUUGCUUGUUUGUUUGUAAGUCACUUUGGGUUGCCCUGGGAAAGGUAAAGCGACUGACGUAUUGAAUAAUAGUAGUAAUAAUAAUAAUAAUAAUAAUAAAGCAAUCUUGCAUUUCUGUUUGCAGGUAGGGAGAGGUUAGUGACAGAUGAAAGA